UAUCCUGUAUUCAAGAUAGUAUAAUGACCCAACUUAUCUUUUUCCUUUAAGCUAUUUCCGACAGAAAAAGUAUUACUACCUCAGCUGGAAAAUCUUUGACACUGAAAGAUGCAAAUGAGGAUAAUUCAACUUCCAUCUUUCCUUAUGGAGAGACAUUUCUCUUCCAGAGACUAGAAAGUUCCAAGAAGCGAUCUAUAAAGAAUGAAUUUUGGGCCCAUGAGGACACAGUUAAAGAGGAAGCAGCCACUUCAAGAAACUCUAUCCUAACCAAGUCAAGCAUAUAUGAUAGCAGGAAGGAAAAAGUGAGUGAAGACAAAGUAGAAGACAUUUGGAUACCCCGUGAAGAUAAAAAUAAUCUUCCACAGGAUUCUGCUUCUGAGUCAGAAUACUCAACAGUUGAGGAGUGCUUCCAGAGUUUAAGAAGAAAAAAUUCCAAAGCAUCUAAGUCUAGGACUCAAAAAGCCUUCUACUUGGACCCUUUUAAUAGGCACAGUUAUCCUCUAAGCUCCACAAGUGAAAAUACUGAUCCAUCAACCAUCGCAAAUGCCAUCUCUCCCUAUGCCUGCUUCUAUGGCUCUUCUGCAGCUAAAGUGAAAUCCGGAUGGCUGGACAAACUCUCUCCUCAAGGGUAUGGAUGGAUACAUUUUAUUUACUAAGUAGCCAUUUUGAUAAAGUCAAACUUAUUCAUUACUAAAAUAGCCAGGUUUCUGUACCCCCAGCAAUCCCCAGGAUGCAUGUUUUUAGAGGGGUUCUCAGUAUGUUUGCAAGUGGAAGUGCAGCACUUCAGUAAGGUUUGGAAUAACAACUUCAGGUUUGGAAUUAUAUUAGUUCAGGUUGAAAUUAAAUUAAAACUUCAAGUUAUGAGUUCCCCUCCAUAUUAUUACUGAUGGUUUCUAACUUGAUAAUAAAAUGUACUUGCCUGGAUUCCACUUCCUGUCAAAACAAACAGCACAGACUGAGUCAUUCCUUAGCUUUCAGUGUUUGCAUUUUGCUCUUAUCAUGACAGUGUUCUGUUUGAGAAUACAGUGCUUAUUGUAGCUACAGAAAUGAGCAUCACUGUUUAAGAUUUAGGUCUUAUUGAUCUAGUAUCCAAAUUUUUAAUGUGCAUAAAUGAUAAGUCAAGGAUUUUUAUAUUAUUUAAAGCAUUUUAAAGACAUUUUAUAUUUGAACAUGAUAUUAUAGAUUGACUUUUUCAUAAUUUGAUUAUGCUGGUUUAGUUUUUAUAUGUUGCUCAGAAAAUCAGAACCCUUAAAUAUAAUGUCAAAACAGAUUUAUCACUUCAGAGGUAAAUAAAUGAAAUUCUUUCCUUUUUGCAUUAUAUAGUAUGGAGAAAUCUUUUGUGGAUAG
This is a long non-coding RNA of Rattus rattus (black rat), 1347 nucleotides long. RefSeq lists it as uncharacterized. NCBI's taxonomy places the organism in Eukaryota, Metazoa, Chordata, Mammalia, Rodentia, Muridae. The record is from RefSeq and is a predicted model, not a curated record. The transcript has 4 exons.